ACAAGCAUCGCCAUGUCCGGAUCCCGUUGUGUAUGUAUGCUGCAAUCAGUGUCGAAGUCUCGACGAAAGUAAUCCGAAAUCUGCCAGAAAGUAUGCAAACUAAUGCGUAGAAUUUACAGUGCAACACAGUGGCGGUUUGAUUAUAGACUUAAUGAAUUUCAUCGUUGGGUUGCCAGUGAAAUGUUUCGGUUCUGCACAUUGGAGAGACUUCAUCGAUCCGGAUAUUUUGGCGAAAAAUGAUGACGAAUUUACUAUGACGAAUUUACUAUGAUGACGAAUUUACUAUGACGAAUUUACUAUGAUAAUUUAUGAAUUUACUAUGACAGCGAUCUACCGGAAGGCGAUAUUCUCGGUCUGCAGACGCUGCAACUGGAACACGAAGCAGCCAACGCCGUCAACGAAGCGGCUCGUUCUGGCCUAACAACACAAUCCCUUACGAAUUCUCCAAAAAACAAAAUGCUUUAAUGAGUGAGGAACCGCUAGGAAGUUUCAGUGUUGUUUCAAAUAGGAAAGCUGCAUAAACUGCCUUGCAUCGUUGCUGUUGUCAAGCGGUCAUUAACUAAAUCGUUUCCAGCACCAAAAGAAAUGCAGAUUAUUCUGGAGUCUAUGCGCAUAAUCAGUCACCUUUCCGGUAACUGUGUCCAGUUCGUGGAACGCACCAGUGAAGAAGAUUACAUCAGCUUCCAAAAAGGACUGCAAUGCAUGUCGAUUAUCGGUCGCGUUGGUGGAAGACAAACGGUAGUGUACUCACCCGCCUGUCUGAAGCAGCACGGCAAUGUCCAGCACGAACUGAUGCACGUCAUGGGCUUCUUUCACGAACAUUCCCGAGCAGACAGAGACGAACAUGUAAAGAUCAUCUGGGAUAAUAUUGCCAAAAGCGACCGGGAUCAGUUUGUUAUACACGAGGACGGAAACACUUACGGAUUGCCGUAUGACUACGAAUCAGUCAUGCACUGUAAGCACAACGCCUUCGCGAAAGACAGCAGUAUCCCCACUAUUCUCCCCACACAGAGAAAGGCGAAGAUUGGACAGAAUCGAGAUCUGAGUAUUCUGGAUGUUGUCAGGAUACACAGACGGUUUCGGUGUGCUAUCGGAGAUCCGAAGAGCUUUGCAGAAUGGACCCAAAUUGUCCAUAGGGAAUCCCCGGAGUCGUGGCGAUAUUGCGCACCGUGAUGGACAUACUGCGCUCCUUCUUCAGAUCACCGAUCAAUGCCGCCGCUAAGGUAUAGUAGAACGGCGUCGAUGCGGUAUCGAUCACGAUGUAUACCGACGUCCAUGCGUAUUUGUUGAGGAGCGCCACGUAUAACUGCGAGCACUGUGAUAUGGAAAAGUAGUUGGUGGCGAUCCAGGUGGGAUACAGUUGGCGAUUGCGGAUUUGUGGACUGACCGACAUCCUAAGAUGAGUUACUGCACAAGAAUCGUUCUAAUUUGACAAAUAAGUUAUUUUCUAUAGAAAUUUAGUUAAUUUAGUAAAUUAUUUAUCUGUAAUGAUACUAAAAAAUUAUAAUACAACCGCAGGUAUCGUAGUACAGAAGUGUCUGUUUUACUGCUUGGUAGGUAAAGAGCCGCGCUAUUCCGCAAAUCUUGGUUUUCGCAUUUAUGUUAGUCACUAAUACGACAUAUGAUCGUUUUCUAACGAGUAAAUGGUGUUCUCACGUGGAAAUCCACAAGUUGUUCCACUGGGAUUGAAAAUACGGCAUUUCCGUCGUUUCGACGCAGGCUACAAAAUAAAAAGCGAUUUUUCAAUGAAAUCUUACCAUGAGAAAACCCAAGAAAUACGGCAAAUGGUGACUCGCCAUUUUGCCGACUCGUCACUACGUCGAACCAACACAAAGUUGAUCCAGUGUUUGCAAAACUGAGGUGAGCCCGACAACGUACCGGGUAUGAUGUAGACGGUUAGAUCGCUCGGCUUGCGCUGCCGAUAAUGUAAUUCCGAGACCAGCCUGACGGCAUUAUCACUCAAAUCCGCGCAUGUCCAUCCCGGAUCGGGAAAAAUGGUCAGAUUGAAGCGCAUGGUUGUGUUGUACUUGCGGGAAACAUAUUCCGUGGCCACGGAUAAAGCAGGCCCCAGAUACACCACCGAGCCAAACCCGAAGGGCGCCCUGUAACAAACGGCCACCAAGCUGACGUUCAACAGGCCGGGCACGCUCGUGAACAUCAUACCACAGAUGAAAACAACCGCUAAACACGGCCUACGACCAUCCAUUGUUGUCAGCGCAGAAACACUGAUCGCUGCCAUCAUUUCAGGUCAUUUUUUAAAUAAGUUGAGCCACUGUUAGUCAAAAUCUUAAGGAGACUACUUGAUCGUCUUCUUGCUGUGAUGGCUGUGAUACACACCAUAAGACUACAAACGGUGUAAUAUCGAUCUUCCCGCUCACUCUCGGUAAAUUAAAGGUAAUGGGAACAUGAUCCAGCUGUUUACUGCAUUCCAGUUUUCCACGCAGUCUUUCAUUACAGAUUACUGAUUGCUGUGGUAGUCUGCUGGGCGACUGCGGCACAAUCAUGUUGGUACAUCUAAAAAUAUGGGAUACACCAUCGGGUCACACCUUUUAAUUUAACGUAAUUACUGCCGUGUAGCUGACGUACACGCAGCCUCAGCCUUGGCAUUCCCGUUUGGGACAGCGCUUAAAUAAUGCUCAACUGGAUGACCUUACGCCAGCGCCGAUUGUGGCUGCGAUUCAACGGAUGUAGCGUUAAUUAUGCACUGCCGUAAUAAUCAGUAACGUGUCGGAGUCCAUCACGCACCCCUUUUUUUAAAAAGGCUGCGUGAUGGACUUGCCAAAUAGACUGUUGGUUGAUGUUCUCGAUGCCGGAGAGCUGGAAAGAAUGUCAAAAUCUGCGGUUGUUCGGAUAUUUUGGCCAAAUGCAAAAAAAAUGUCAUGAAACUAAUUAUUGACUUGUGGUGUAGAUUCGUCCAUAACGUCAUGUGCCUUUUACAGCAAGGUUUCAAGCAUAUGGGCGUUCCACCGCUUCCACGUUAAAUUCACUGGUUAAAAAGUCAAAGACUUGAGGAACAUCCGGGCCCGCGAUUACCUUGUUGAAGUUACUCUGUUGCCACUCCUUUCAUACCUGGAUACGCGACUACGGUGUACCAUCAGUCAUGCGUGGUAUCAUGGUAGCGCUUUGGCCGAUCUGCAGAAAAUUACUGCUAAAAUGUCGCAUCCUUUCGAGCAUCGUUUGGUAUAUCGUCACCGCCCUGGCGAAUGUCAUGCUUUGCUUGAAUUAAUUAGCGUGAUAGUCGUUACCGCAGCCAGCACAGUCGCACGACUGGUUGCUGACGUCAACAGCAGAGAACGUAUUCUCCCAGGCCAGACCAGCAUUAUUAUGUAGUUCAGCAUGUUACAGAUU
RNA transcript from Paramacrobiotus metropolitanus, 3348 nucleotides. It is a transcript of the gene named low choriolytic enzyme-like, with no coding region annotated. Lineage: Eukaryota; Metazoa; Tardigrada; Eutardigrada; Parachela; Macrobiotidae. The transcript is spliced from 6 exons. The record is from RefSeq and is a predicted model, not a curated record.